This is a long non-coding RNA of Melitaea cinxia (Glanville fritillary), 159 nucleotides long. RefSeq lists it as uncharacterized. The transcript is spliced from 3 exons. The record is from RefSeq and is a predicted model, not a curated record. Lineage: Eukaryota; Metazoa; Arthropoda; Insecta; Lepidoptera; Nymphalidae.
GAUUGCCUGAUUUAGUAACCACGGUUAAAAUAUUCGUGGUGAACAGUGAAUACUUUACCGGGUGCAUAACCGAUGUUUAGGAAUUCAUCGGCUGAUUAUUCAAACAUUGGUUAAAUGAUAGUCGGUGAACUCCGCCCUAAACCUGUAAUCAAGUUUUAA